Molecule: non-coding RNA, 79 nt
Organism: Podarcis lilfordi (Lilford's wall lizard)
Lineage: Eukaryota; Metazoa; Chordata; Lepidosauria; Squamata; Lacertidae
Source: the annotation of a GenBank genome assembly
GCUGGAUAGCUGAGUUGGUAUGGGAGUGGUGCUAAUAACGCCAAGGUUGCAGGUUCGAUGCCUGUAUGGGAGAGCUGCA